RNAcentral lists this ribosomal RNA (305 nucleotides) under uncultured bacterium. RNAcentral describes it as "bacterial SSU rRNA". It matches the Rfam family "Bacterial small subunit ribosomal RNA", at positions 337 to 658 of the family's 1533-position model. The record is from RNAcentral.
GCCUACGGGGCGCAGCAGUCGGGAAUAUUGCGCAAUGGAGGAAACUCUGACGCAGUGACGCCGCGUAUAGGAAGAAGUUUUUCGGAAUGUAAACUAUUGUCGUUAGGGAAGAGAAAGGACAGUACCUAAGGAGGAAGCCCCGGCUAACUACGUGCCAGCAGCCGCGGUAAUACGUAGGGGGCAAGCGUUAUCCGGAUUCACUGGGUGUAAAGGGAGCGUAGACGGCCAUGCAAGCCUGGAGUGAAAGCCCGGGGCCCAACCCCGGGACUGCUCUGGGAACUGUGCGGCUGGAGUGCGGGAGGGGC